Molecule: ribosomal RNA, 433 nt
Filed under: uncultured bacterium
Lineage: Bacteria
Description: partial 16S ribosomal RNA
Rfam family: Bacterial small subunit ribosomal RNA
Source: RNAcentral
AACGAACGCUGGCGGCAUGCCUAACACAUGCAAGUCGAACGAGACCUUCGGGUCUAGUGGCGCACGGGUGCGUAACGCGUGGGAACCUGCCCUUAGGUUCGGAAUAACUCCCCGAAAGGGGUGCUAAUACCGGAUAAUGUCUUCGAACCAAAGAUUUAUCGCCUUUGGAUGGGCCCGCGUUGGAUUAGCUAGUUGGUAGGGUAAAAGCCUACCAAGGCGACGAUCCAUAGCUGGUCUGAGAGGAUGAUCAGCCACACUGGGACUGAGACACGGCCCAGACUCCUACGGGAUGGAGCAGUGGGGAAUAUUGGACCAUGGGCGGAAUGCUGAACCAGCCAUGCCCCGUGAGUGAUGAAAGCCUUAGGGUUGUAAAGCUCUUUUACCCGGGAUGAUAAUGACAGUACCGGGAGAAUAAGCUCCGGCUAACUCCGUG